Non-coding RNA from Caenorhabditis elegans, 97 nucleotides. Lineage: Eukaryota; Metazoa; Nematoda; Chromadorea; Rhabditida; Rhabditidae. The record is from Ensembl.
CAAAAAAGAACUUAAGAGAGUGGGAUUCGAACCCACGCCCCCGAAUGGAACGGUGCCUUAAACCAGCGCCUUGGACCGCUCGGCCAUCUCUCCACCG